GUAAGAAGUGUGACCAGAAGGUUGAUACGUGCAGCAAGGCAAAGUCGAGAGAGAUGGAGCCCCAGCACUCAGGACCCCAUGAAUCUCUGGAAUAGCUCGCCCUGAAGGUGGUCCAGCCUCUGAACUUUCCAAUGAUAGAUCUCAAUCAAUUCGCUUAGGUUAAACUAGUUUAACAAAUGCUAAACCUUCGAAGCAGCACCACACAGUUCCUGGGUUAUAAAGGCUUUGUUCCUCAGAUGCUCAGGUCCCCAGAAGGUCAGCUCUCUGGGGCAGGCCAAGCCUGUAGUGUUCACUGGCUUCUCCACAAGCUUAUACACCAGGAACUUCAAAAAGGGAGCGACCCAGGCAUUUCUCACUCGGAGAUGCCCUGCACUGGAAUGUGCUGUGUGCUCAGCCUCACCCUCCUCUGAAUCAUCGCCUCCAGUUGGCACUUUACGCCUCUGGCCACCUUCUGUCUCCUAGCAUCGUUCUUUAUGCAGCUGUCUUAUCUGUCUCACAGGACUGUGAGCUUAAUUCCCAAUGGUCAUCCCCGCCAUCGCCAUCGUAAAGUACCUAGUCUGUUUUCUACGUGUGAAACCAUUUGAGUCUUUCGUACUAUUUGUUGCAGAUGCCUUCCAAGAGCUCACUGAAUGUGGAGCUGGGAUAUACACAAUGGCUCUUGCUGGCCAAUCAGACUUAAGAAGUUUCCGGUAGAUCUUGGCUCAGGGCUCCAGGAAGAUCAGAAGUGCUAUUCUGUAAGGAAUGGGGAAGCCCAUUGAAUCCCUUCUCCACCUGCGCAGGCAAGACUGUAGGACAUAUUCAUAGGACUGUCUCACUUUCCUGGUGUGCUCCUCUCAGCCCUCCCCAACUAACUGCACAAGAUCUUGACAAACCCUGAAAUAGCUUUAAAGUCAUGAGCAAUGAGUCAUAAGAUGGAUCAGAAGUUUCUUACGGGUCACUAAUAUGAAGGCAAUUCGAAACUCUCAGAAUUAGUAAUGUAUACAUACAGGCUGACUUUGGGGCUAUAGUUCUUAACACUCCAAAUUAUUUUUUUUCAAGCAUUUGCUCAACUCC
This 1053-nucleotide long non-coding RNA is filed under the name Equus asinus (donkey). RNAcentral's name for it is "lncRNA (ENSEASG00005023532.1)". The record is from RNAcentral. Lineage: Eukaryota; Metazoa; Chordata; Mammalia; Perissodactyla; Equidae.